UAUACGACCGUACCGCAAACCGACACUGGUGCGCGAGAUGAGUAUUCUAAGGCGCUUGAGAGAACUCAGGAGAAGGAACUCGGCAAAUUGACACCGUAACUUCGGAAGAAGGUGUGCCCUAUUAGUGUGUAGUGAACAACGAAGCAUGAAUGGGUUGCAAAAAAUCGGUGGCUGCGACUGUUUAUUAAAAACACAGCACUCUGCAAACACGAAAGUGGACGUAUAGGGUGUGACGCCUGCCCGGUGCUGGAAGAUUAAAUGAUGGGGUGCAAGCUCUUGAUUGAAGUCCCAGUAAACGGCGGCCGUAACUAUAACGGUCCUAAGGUAGCGAAAUUCCUUGUCGGGUAAGUUCCGACCUGCACGAAUGGCGUAACGAUGGCCACACUGUCUCCUCCUGAGACUCAGCGAAGUUGAAAUGUUUGUGAUGAUGCAAUCUCCCCGCGGAAAGACGGAAAGACCCCAUGAACCUUUACUGUAGCUUUGUAUUGGACUUUGAACAGAUCUGUGUAGGAUAGGUGGGAGGCUUUGAAGCAGGGUCGCUAGAUCUUGUGGAGCCAACGUUGAAAUACCACCCUGGUGUGUUUGAGGUUCUAACCUAGGUCCAUUAUCUGGAUCGGGGACAGUGCAUGGUAGGCAGUUUGACUGGGGCGGUCUCCUCCCAAAGCGUAACGGAGGAGUUCGAAGGUACGCUAGUUACGGUCGGACAUCGUGACGAUAGUGCAAUGGCAUAAGCGUGCUUAACUGCGAGACUGACAAGUCGAGCAGAUGCGAAAGCAGGACAUAGUGAUCCGGUGGUUCUGUAUGGAAGGGCCAUCGCUCAACGGAUAAAAGGUACUCUGGGGAUAACAGGCUGAUACCGCCCAAGAGUUCAUAUCGACGGCGGUGUUUGGCACCUCGAUGUCGGCUCAUCUCAUCCUGGGGCUGUAGCCGGUCCCAAGGGUAUGGCUGUUCGCCAUUUAAAGAGGUACGUGAGCUGGGUUUAAAACGUCGUGAGACAGUUUGGUCCCUAUCUUCCGUGGGCGCUGCAGAUUUGAGGAAGCCUGCUCCUAGUACGAGAGGACCGGAGUGGACACACCUCUGGUGUAUCGGUUGUCACGCCAGUGGCAUUGCCGAGUAGCUAAGUGUGGAAGAGAUAACCGCUGAAAGCAUCUAAGCGGGAAACUCGUUUCAAGAUGAGAUCUGCCGGGGCCUUGAGCCCCCUAAAGAGUCGUUCAAGACCAGGACGUUGAUAGGUCAGGUGUGGAAGUGGAA
Molecule: ribosomal RNA, 1251 nt
Filed under: metagenome
Description: bacterial LSU rRNA
Rfam family: Bacterial large subunit ribosomal RNA
Source: RNAcentral